AUAAUUUUAGAGAGGGAACGGGAUGCCACUCCUCCGGUACCCAUUCCCUCCCCCUAUUCCAUUCUCCUUUCCAUACUAUUCCAUUCCCCUCUACCCGCUCUAUUAUGUUUAUAUACAUAUACAUAUAUAUUUUUUUUAUUUCGGGUGGGGGUUUUGGGACAGGGCCGGGCCAGCUUAUUUCUUGAUCUUCCUUUUAUUUUGAAUAAUGAUCAUAGAGACAUAAAUAAAGGUGCCGAUAACGAUACAGGUAAAAAGGUGAAGAAGAGAAAGGGAAGAAGAAAGUGAAAGUUCAAAUAUUGUGCCUCCAUAUAGGAGUGAUGUAACCACAUUGAUGAUGGUUACAUAUGGAGAAAAUAUGGCCAAAAGGUUGCCAAAAACACUAUCCAUCCAAGCAAUUGUUUCUUGGAAGAAUCAAUCUUUACAAGCUUGGGAAAGAACUCAAUGAACCAAAAAGAAACCGAAGAAACCGAGAAAGAAACUAAAGAAAAAUGAUUCAAUGGCAAUGGCAAUGCAGAAAACAUUGAAAAGGAGAAGUCAAGAGGGUCUCUGUAAGAAGAAGCAACCAUUAUUCUUCUGCAGCCAAUUUUUGGGCGUUGAAAUUUGAAGUUGUGGGAAUCCUGAUGAUGCUGCAGCAUUUGCAAAUUGUUGAGAGCCACCAGAUUGCUGCCAUUGAUGGCUUUCACUCAAACUCAGUGAAACUUCGUCACUCCCUCCUAACCCUUCUUCAUUGCUGCUUCUCAACAAAUGAAUCUACAAACAAAAAUGCAAGUUUGCAACUUCCAUUACAACUCCUUAA
This is a long non-coding RNA of Cucumis melo (muskmelon), 796 nucleotides long. RefSeq lists it as uncharacterized. The record is from RefSeq and is a predicted model, not a curated record. Lineage: Eukaryota; Viridiplantae; Streptophyta; Magnoliopsida; Cucurbitales; Cucurbitaceae. The transcript is spliced from 2 exons.